Molecule: ribosomal RNA, 499 nt
Filed under: uncultured bacterium
Lineage: Bacteria
Description: partial 16S ribosomal RNA
Rfam family: Bacterial small subunit ribosomal RNA
Source: RNAcentral
GACGAACGCUGGCGGCGUGCUUAACACAUGCAAGUCGAACGGGCCCGCUCUCUUUUUUGGGGGUGGGUUGAGUGGCGAACGGGUGAGUAUCACGUGAGUAACCUGCCCCCUGCUCCUGGAUAACUGCUUGAAAGGGCGGCUAAUACGGGGUGUGCCGGCUGGUCCGCAUGGGCCUGGUCGGGAUAGUUUCAUCUUCGGGUGUUUCGGUGGGGGAUGGGCUCGCGGCCUAUCAGCGUGUUGGUGGGGUGAUGGCCCACCAAGGCGGUGACGGGUAGCCGGCCUGAGAGGGUGGGCGGCCACACUGGGACUGAGACACGGCCCAGACUCCUGCGGGAGGCAGCAGUGGGGGGUAUUGCACAAUGGGCGGAAGCCUGAUGCAGCGACGUCGCGUGAGGGAUGGAGGCCUUCGGGUGGUGAACCUCUUUCUCCGGUGGUGAAGGCCCUGUCCGUUGCGGCGGGGUUGACGGUAGCCGGGGAUGAAGCGCCGGCUAACUACGUG